Molecule: long non-coding RNA, 202 nt
Filed under: Struthio camelus australis
Lineage: Eukaryota; Metazoa; Chordata; Aves; Struthioniformes; Struthionidae
Description: lncRNA (ENSSCUG00000015812.1)
Source: RNAcentral
GUCUGCCUGAGAGCCUGCUGCCACAGAAGUGUGAUUACAUGACAUUUUUAGGCAGAUGUGAAAUGGAUGCACAUUGGAUUGCCUACUUCUGUUGGUCAGAUGCCCCAGAAUAUUCUGAUUAACCUUCACUGAAAGGGUGCGGAAAGAUCAUGCUACAAUAACUUUCUGUUUGUGAAGCCCUUGUGUUUGUGAAUCUUGACUC